Molecule: non-coding RNA, 77 nt
Organism: Potamilus streckersoni
Lineage: Eukaryota; Metazoa; Mollusca; Bivalvia; Unionida; Unionidae
Source: the annotation of a GenBank genome assembly
GACCAUUCCGGUGGCCUAGUUGUUAAAGCGUCCGCCUCAGAUGCGGGAGGACGCGAGUUCGAACUCCGGCUGAGUCA